CGGAUGAGUUGCGAACGGGUGAGUAACGCGUAGGUAACCUGCCUGGUAGCGGGGGAUAACUAUUGGAAACGAUAGCUAAUACCGCAUAAGAGUAGAUGUUGCAUGACAUUUGCUUAAAAGGUGCAAUUGCAUCACUACCAGAUGGACCUGCGUUGUAUUAGCUAGUUGGUGGGGUAACGGCUCACCAAGGCGACGAUACAUAGCCGACCUGAGAGGGUGAUCGGCCACACUGGGACUGAGACACGGCCCAGACUCCUACGGGAGGCAGCAGUAGGGAAUCUUCGGCAAUGGACGGAAGUCUGACCGAGCAACGCCGCGUGAGUGAAGAAGGUUUUCGGAUCGUAAAGCUCUGUUGUAAGAGAAGAACGAGUGUGAGAGUGGAAAGUUCACACUGUGACGGUAUCUUACCAGAAAGGGACGGCUAACUACGUGCCAGCAGCCGCGGUAAUACGUAGGUCCCGAGCGUUGUCCGGAUUUAUUGGGCGUAAAGCGAGCGCAGGCGGUUAGAUAAGUCUGAAGUUAAAGGCUGUGGCUUAACCAUAGUACGCUUUGGAAACUGUUUAACUUGAGUGCAAGAGGGGAGAGUGGAAUUCCAUGUGUAGCGGUGAAAUG
Molecule: ribosomal RNA, 612 nt
Filed under: uncultured Bacilli bacterium
Lineage: Bacteria; Bacillati; Bacillota; Bacilli
Description: bacterial SSU rRNA
Rfam family: Bacterial small subunit ribosomal RNA
Source: RNAcentral